Amphibalanus amphitrite is the source of this 777-nucleotide long non-coding RNA. RefSeq lists it as uncharacterized. NCBI's taxonomy places the organism in Eukaryota, Metazoa, Arthropoda, Thecostraca, Balanomorpha, Balanidae. The record is from RefSeq and is a predicted model, not a curated record. The transcript has 3 exons.
GUGAGUCACCUGGCGAUGUAGUAGGCAAGCUGAAGGCCAAGUACAAUGAUGUGUUUUCAAAGGAGCUGGGAUGUUUCAAGGAUGUCGAAAUUUCUUUUGACGUGGACCAGACUGUGUCGCCCCGGUUCAUGAAAGCACGACACCUACCCUAUGCUUACAGGCGCCGGGUGGAGGAGCAGCUUCAGGCGGAGGUGGAAGCCGGUGUCCUAGAGCCGGUGAAGUCGUCAGACUGGGCCUGCCAGAUCGUUCCAGUCUUGAAGCCGGACGAGGGAGAUGGAGAAGCUGCUGGCCGGUCUGCAGAAUGUGUUCGUCUUCCUGGACGACGUGCUCGUCUCUGGGUGCGACGAAGUGGAGCUGCUGAAGACUGUGGAGGAGGUGCUGCGGCGUUUCCAGGACGCUGGCGUCAAGAACCACCCGGCAUGCUACGACCGGUGAAACGCCUUCACGGCUCCUGCUGGGCUACCAGCCGGUGACGAGAUUUGACCGCCUGAAGCCCAGUCUGGAGCGCAACGUCAGGACGAAGCAGUUCACCCAAGUUCAGCAGCACAAGAAGCGUCACCCUACCAGCCGGCCAACGCUGUCUCCAGGAGAUAUGGUGCUCGCUCGCUACUACCGUCAGGGUAAGGCGUUUUGGCGUCCAGCCUCGAUUGUCAGGUGCUUUCACCCGAUGUUUACAGUGCGUUUCGACACUGGUGACAUCUGUAAGAGACACAUCAAUCAGCUUCGCCCACGAUCAUGUCCCGCAGCGCGCUCGCGCGAGGGCGAGAACGAUUCCGU